AAGACCAUCAGCAUAAAAACUUUAAACACCCUAGUAAAGGGCUAAAUGGAAUCCCUGAAGGGCAGGUAGUGGAGAAGAGAGACAAAGAUAUUUAAAACAUACUGGAUGAAAGAUUUAGAAGCUCCAUGGAAACAAUAAACUUCAAAUAUUACAGAAAUAUGAUUAUCCUAAGAACAAGAAACAUGCAGAAAACUUCACCAAGGAACACCUUAAUCGAAUCCAUCAAAACCGGUGAUAAAAAGGAAAUCCUAAAAGUAAUAAAAGGGAAAAGAACAUGUUACAUACAGAGCACUAAAUAUAAAGAUGGCAUAAGAUUUCUCAUAGGAAACUUUACAAACAAGAAGUUUGCAAUAAAGUAUUUAAAAAAAGAAAAACUGUCACCUACAAGUCUACACCUGGCCAAAUUAUCUUUCAAAAAUAAACAUGAGAAAAAAUAUUUUUGAACAGAAAACAAAAUGAUCUCAAUUUGCAGAUGGUGUGAUCCUAUGUAUAGAAAAUCCCAAACAAUACAUACAAAGGCAAACACACAUACAUGCACACAGACACCAGACACACACACACACACACACACACUAUCAGAGUUAAUAAGUGAAUUCAGCAAACUUUCAGCAAACAAUCCAUUGUGAUGGCAAUGAACUAUCUGAGAAGAAAACUGACAAAAUGAUUUCAUUUAUAAUAGCACCUGUAAGGAUAAUAUGCCUGGGAAUAAAUUUGUUCAAGAAGGUGCAGUACUUGUACACAGACAACUACAGAAC
This 755-nucleotide long non-coding RNA is filed under the name Homo sapiens (human). Its description in RNAcentral is "HSALNT0002846". The record is from RNAcentral. Lineage: Eukaryota; Metazoa; Chordata; Mammalia; Primates; Hominidae.